Non-coding RNA from Cherax quadricarinatus, 1552 nucleotides. Lineage: Eukaryota; Metazoa; Arthropoda; Malacostraca; Decapoda; Parastacidae. The record is from RefSeq and is a predicted model, not a curated record.
AGAGACUCAGGGUUGUGCCGUGGUCUUGCCGUGGUUUACUGUGGUCUUGCUGUGGUCUUGCUGUGGAGGAUUUCCUGGGUGACGUAUACAGUUCUGACACAAUCUCAUUGCUACCACUCACUGCCGCUCCUGACAUUUCAUACAAUUUCCCCGGUCGUGUGGUCCUUAUAGAGGAUAUUCCUCAACAGGAGGUGUGUUACGGGUGCAGUGUGUGGGUAGAGCGCCAUGUGAAUAUUGUGGGUUUGUGUAGAGGCAGCUGGAAGUGGAUUUAUAUAAAGAGUUUGCGGUCUUGUGUUUUGUGAGACUUGGGUGGCGUUGGUGAUGGUGGGGCAAGUUUGAGCAGCAUUAUGUUUAAAAAACGUCGUUCUCAACUUAGUGAUGAUCCACCAUGGCCCCACAGCACCUAGCAAUGCUCGCUCUCUCCUAAAUAUUUCUGUAAUGGGACCAUCCUGCGCCUUAACCCCUCACCCACCCAUUCCUAGUCCUUGAGGCACCCGUUACCUAGCUUUCAAUUCUUCUCGUACUCAUUCUAGAAAGUCUGUUACUCCCUGUAGUAUUCUCCAGCCAAAUUUCACAAUUCCUAUUUACUUGCUUAUCCUAGUUUUUAAUACGACCGGGUUUUCCUGCUAUUUUGCUUUUGUUCUCUGAAGAAUUCCAUGUAAUCGUUGCUUUAACCCCAAGCUCUUGUUUUUCAUGUGGUUACUACAUUCUUUAUACUCCCUGUUAAACUCUGCCAGGACUUUCAAGUUUCGGCAUAGGGAAUUGUUAGAGACCUCUGGUAGAUUUGUUCUCAUUUGAUGUUGGUAGUCUAAGUUUCUGGUUCUUUUGCUUAAAGUGUCGGCUGUCAGAUGCUGUUCUUGUUACCAUUAUCUGCUCGACUUGCCAUAGUCCUCUUUAAGAAAAAUAGUAUUGUUUGUUUGGUUUACUCCUCUGUUCGUGUCUCCAUCCUUCAAUAUUUAGCGUUAUCUUCUAGUUUCUCUUGUCAAGUAUUUUCUUGUUCCGGGUUCAAAAGUUUUUCUUUUUCAGUCAAUCCAGAUUGUUUUGGAUCUUACCUUGUCUGAACUUGGAACUUGGUAUUUGUUUUGCUUUGUCAUCAAUAUUUGCUCAUCUCUCGUGUUAUCUAUUAGCCUGAGUCUCAGUUGAACUUGACUAAACUUCUCUUGAGAGUUCCAAACUCGUUCUGAAUUCUUUCAAAAGUGCACUUGUGUCGCUGGGAGAUGUGAUGACUUCUUCCCUUGACUCUGCUUCCUGCAACGAAUGUUACUACUAAUUUCCUGCAUGCCAAGACCCCCGAGCUAAAACCUUCAAGUCCCUACACUCUGUUCUACCUGCUUUUUACCCUACCAACGCCGUUACCACUGUCUCUGCUGGUCCUGCUUGAACGAGAGGAACUACCGAGGCCAUGCAUGUCCCUCUGCUAGAACAGGACCUCCAGAAGGAGUCAUUUGACGACGGCUCCUGCACAGGCGAUGACGAUGAUAAUGACGAGGAAGUUCUCUGGAGCAUUGACGACAAAAUGGAAUAUACGAAGCUGCUGGGUGGAGGUGAGAAG